Molecule: long non-coding RNA, 2346 nt
Organism: Nicotiana tabacum (common tobacco)
Lineage: Eukaryota; Viridiplantae; Streptophyta; Magnoliopsida; Solanales; Solanaceae
Source: RefSeq, a predicted model, not a curated record
CACGCGCUAAGCCUACUUUAGUUUUGCCACAUUCUUUACACCGCUCAAACGAACAACAUCUAUACUCUACUUCACACUGUUCUUCCUCGAAAUUGUCAGUGUUCAACUCCUCUUCCAAUUUCCUCUGUCUCUUUCAAUCUUCUCUCUUCCUGGACAAUUUAUUCGCUUUGAUCGUACUGUUAUAAGAUUUUCUAACAGAAAGAAAGCUAGAACAAGAUCAAGAUCACUAGCACUGAUCUAAACUCCUUGACAUCAGUUUCAUGUAAAACUGAUCCAUACUACCAUGGUAGUUGCAAAACUUUCUUACGUUUGUCCAAUAGCAUGCUCAAUAAAACGUUAAUGUUCUUUAUUGACAUGUUGAUAUCGAUAAUAUGCAGGUUGUUGACAUAACCUUUAUUAAGAAAAAAUUAUGGUCUAGACCAAGUAAGUCAACAUGUGCUUCUAUUGCUACAUAUGGUGACGAUGAGUAUCUUGCUUGCUCUCUUUAUAGCAUUUCAUUUUUUUGCUCAAAAUGAACUCAAGUUUAAUUUGCCGAUAACUAUUUUCUGAAAAUAGAUUGACAUCCUCCUAUGAACAUUGAUCUUUUCUACCUUAUCAAAAAAAAAAAUGAAUAUUGAUCUUUCCCUGAGCAAUGCGCUACGUCCUACAAUGUUGAAGAACCGAUUUGCUGACACCAUCAUCAAAGUGAAACAGAAAUCUCUUUCACUUGAUGAGUAUAUUUUGUAUCACAUAGUUGAAUCAGCAUGAUAAGUCUAAUCUGCAGUCUGAAAGAGCCUAUCUCUUAUCCAACAAUAUUCUUUCAUAUUCGACAGUAAUAGCUUUACUGCAGAUUUUCCUAAUCGCCUGUGUUGUUUUCUUUUGUCCUGCUUUAACUCAAGCUUGGUCUCUUUCGUCCGUAGUAUUAUCUUCUUGCGUCAGCAUCAUACUAAUUGAGUUUGUUCAUCCUUACAUCAUAGGUGUCUUAUUAUACUAAAUGGCAAUUUGAAGAAUCUGUUUAUUGAAGCACAUAUUGAUUUUGACAUUAUAUUAGAAGUAUUAGUAUAAUAAUCGCAUAGAAAAACUGAUAACUAGAUUUCUUUUUAUUUCUAGGUAGGUUGAAGAUUGCACUGGACAUACUACUUUUCUUUCCUUUUCUUGUUCUUUGUACUGGAAUUUCUGCUACUUCUUUCUUCUUUGAAGUGUAUUAUGUUCGGUAAAUAUACGGUUUUACGAUGAGUGUACCGUUAAAGUUGAAGGUUAAUGGACUUUCAAAUGAGAAAAAGUCCAACAGUCCAUUCUUUCUAAUGUUCUGCAUGUUUGUUGACUUCUGUUGGUCUGCUAUAAAAAGGUAUACCACAGAUGUGAAGUUCUAUAAUCAGGAAUUCAACAAACACGUUUUGUAGAGAAAAAAUGUUCAUUUGUCACCAACCAUUUGCUAUUAUAUUCUGGUAGUAAUAACAUUAUUGCAGAUCUAUGGAUGUUCCUCUAAGAUAACCCUAAUAACAUUAUUGUACAUCUAUAGAUGUUUCUUUAAGACCACCUUUCAUUUUGUUUCACUAUGAGAAACUUUAUUUCUCAUGAUUUGUUAUUGUUUUAUUCAUUUCAUUUGAUAGGGUAAUCUUUAUAGCCAAGAUAUUACCAGUUUAAGGUAUGAAAAAAAUCCCUUUAGAAAUACAAGGUAGUUAGACUUUACACAAUAGAACAAUUGUGAUUCAGCUCUGCCCUUGAUCCUAUACAUAAUGGGAGCUUAAUGUACCAGUUCGGUAUUUAUUGUUCUACUCUAUAAACUGCAAACAUGAUAGGAUUAUAUUUACAAUCUUAUAGAAGUUUGUAGCCUUCUGCUUUCCCUCAUCGAAAUCAUAGCUUUCCCUGAAAUAUCAAGUGUUGCAAAUAUGAUGGAAGUUAAAAGCACAAUUGUACCUCACAGUGGUAUCUCAGCCUGAAAAAUCUACAGAAUAUUAUAUCUGGACUGGGAUCACAGAGUUUAUACGUUUAUGGCAAAAGGCCUUUCCAAUUGUAUAAUUGCUUAACAAAUGCAAUCCUUGCAUCAAGCACUGACAACUAUCCUGAAGAAAACAUUCUGAAUACAUUAGAACCAAGUGACUGAGUUGGCUGCAGGGCUUCAUACUGGACAAGUAGAGGAGAAAUUGAUCCUACAUUUAUAUGAAUUAAUAUCAAAGUUUGUGCUUGAUUUCAUAAUUCAUGUGCAACCAUUUAAAGGUUUCACCUCAAGUUCUAUCUUCGGUGAUGUUAUGAAUUUGUUCAUUCGGCUUGGUUUUUUUUCUCGUUAACCAGAAAUAUUAUGAUUUUGUAACAACAUAUUUCCAGUUUAGUUUCCUCUUUAUUCAACAAAAGUUGUGAGAUUCA